UUACCUGGCCUUGACAUACUAAGAACUUUCCAGAGAUGGAUUGGUGCCUUCGGGAACUUAGAUACAGGUGCUGCAUGGCUGUCGUCAGCUCGUGUCGUGAGAUGUUGGGUUAAGUCCCGCAACGAGCGCAACCCUUUUCCUUAUUUGCCAGCGGGUAAUGCCGGGAACUUUAAGGAUACUGCCAGUGACAAACUGGAGGAAGGCGGGGACGACGUCAAGUCAUCACGGCCCUUACGGCCAGGGCUACACACGUGCUACAAUGGUCGGUACAAAGGGUUGCUACCUCGCGAGAGGAUGCUAAUCUCAAAAAGCCGAUCGUAGUCCGGAUCGCAGUCUGCAACUCGACUGCGUGAAGUCGGAAUCGCUAGUAAUCGCGGAUCAGAAUGCCGCGGUGAAUACGUUCCCGGGCCUUGUACACACCGCCCGUCACACCAUGGGAGUUUGUUGCACCAGAAGUAGGUAGUCUAACCGCAAGGAGGACGCUUACCACGGUGUGGCCGAUGACUGGGGUGAAGUCGUAACAAGGUAGGCGUAGAUGA
Molecule: ribosomal RNA, 539 nt
Filed under: uncultured bacterium
Lineage: Bacteria
Description: bacterial SSU rRNA
Rfam family: Bacterial small subunit ribosomal RNA
Source: RNAcentral